Molecule: ribosomal RNA, 873 nt
Filed under: Salmonella enterica
Lineage: Bacteria; Pseudomonadati; Pseudomonadota; Gammaproteobacteria; Enterobacterales; Enterobacteriaceae
Description: partial 23S ribosomal RNA
Rfam family: Bacterial large subunit ribosomal RNA
Source: RNAcentral
CGCUGUGAAGAUGCAGUGUACCCGCGGCAAGACGGAAAGACCCCGUGAACCUUUACUAUAGCUUGACACUGAACAUUGAGCCUUGAUGUGUAGGAUAGGUGGGAGGCUUUGAAGCGUGGACGCCAGUCUGCGUGGAGCCGACCUUGAAAUACCACCCUUUAAUGUUUGAUGUUCUAACGUGGACCCGUAAUCCGGGUUGCGGACAGUGUCUGGUGGGUAGUUUGACUGGGGCGGUCUCCUCCUAAAGAGUAACGGAGGAGCACGAAGGUUGGCUAAUCCUGGUCGGACAUCAGGAGGUUAGUGCAAUGGCAUAAGCCAGCUUGACUGCGAGCGUGACGGCGCGAGCAGGUGCGAAAGCAGGUCAUAGUGAUCCGGUGGUUCUGAAUGGAAGGGCCAUCGCUCAACGGAUAAAAGGUACUCCGGGGAUAACAGGCUGAUACCGCCCAAGAGUUCAUAUCGACGGCGGUGUUUGGCACCUCGAUGUCGGCUCAUCACAUCCUGGGGCUGAAGUAGGUCCCAAGGGUAUGGCUGUUCGCCAUUUAAAGUGGUACGCGAGCUGGGUUUAGAACGUCGUGAGACAGUUCGGUCCCUAUCUGCCGUGGGCGCUGGAGAACUGAGGGGGGCUGCUCCUAGUACGAGAGGACCGGAGUGGACGCAUCACUGGUGUUCGGGUUGUCAUGCCAAUGGCACUGCCCGGUAGCUAAAUGCGGAAGAGAUAAGUGCUGAAAGCAUCUAAGCACGAAACUUGCCCCGAGAUGAGUUCUCCCUGAGACUUAGAGUCUCCUGAAGGAACGUUGAAGACGACGACGUUGAUAGGCCGGGUGUGUAAGCGCAGCGAUGCGUUGAGCUAACCGGUACUAAUGAACCGUGAGG